UGGGGUAUAUUGCACAAUGGGCGAAAGCCUGAUGCAGCGACGCCGCGUGGGGGAUGAAGGCCUUCGGGUUGUAAACUUCUUUUGCUCUGAACAAGGCGCACCAUGGGGUGUGUUGAGUGUAGGGGUUGAUUAGCGCCGGCUAACUACGUGCCAGCAGCCGCGGUAAUCGGUAGGCCGCGGGGGUUGUCCGGAAUUAUUGGGCGUAAAGGGCUGGUAGGUGGCUGGUUGCGUCAGGCGUGAGAGCUCAUGGAUUAACUGUGGGUUUGCGGUGGGUACGGGCUGGCUUGAGUGCAGUAGGGGAAGCUGGAAUUCCUGGUGUAGCGGUGGAAUGCGCAGAUAUCAGGAGGAAUACCGGUGGCGAAGGCGGGUCUCUGGGCUGUUACUGACACUGAGGAGCGAAAGCAUGGGGAGCGAGCAGG
RNAcentral lists this ribosomal RNA (419 nucleotides) under bacterium. Its description in RNAcentral is "partial 16S ribosomal RNA". It matches the Rfam family "Bacterial small subunit ribosomal RNA", at positions 355 to 776 of the family's 1533-position model. The record is from RNAcentral.